This 913-nucleotide long non-coding RNA is filed under the name Homo sapiens (human). RNAcentral's name for it is "non-protein coding lnc-SOD3-15:1". The record is from RNAcentral. Lineage: Eukaryota; Metazoa; Chordata; Mammalia; Primates; Hominidae.
UGCUGACGGAGGCUCCACCUGAAACCUGUUCUCUCAGAUAAGUAUCUUCAUCCCAUUCAUCGUUUCAAGAAAAAUAAAUAAAUAAAUCUUACAGCACGGCAGCAUUUUCAUCUGCUUUGGUUUCAGCCAGAGAUAAACUGUUCCUGCUGCAAAGUAAUUAAUAUCAGUCGCCUGGAAAGCAGAAAUUGGGAGACAACAGGCUCCUCUUUCUUGAUAAACAGAUUGUUGGGUUUCCUUUGGGAGGGGAAGGAAUAACCUUGAAGAGAGGUGAGAAUUGUCAUGGAUUUUGUGUGACUUGUUACUCAAGAUGACUCAUUAAGCUGCCAAGAGCCUCACAGCCCAUCCAAACUUCUCAAACAACCCCUUCAAUUCCAGCCCUUGACCUGAUCUAUGUAGAGGGUUGGAAAAUUCACAGCAAUACAAAGCUAUGGAAACAGACUGUCAUCCACAUAUAUGUUGGGUGAUGGGGGAGACAUGAAGAGUGAGAGACUGUGGAGACAGGAAAGUAGCAACAUUUGCCAUGAGAUUUUCCUCGAAACCAUCUCCUUCUUGAAUUUAGACACUCAUUGUUUAUGUGCAGUGGCCCUAGGUACAGAAGGGUCACCACCCCAAGGAGAACUAUACCCUCCGGACUCAUAAACCAAAUUCUAGCCAGAUUCUCCCGGAAUAAAAUACUACAGUUCAUCCAUUAAGCUAAAUCUCCUUUCAACAAUUCCCUUCUUACCUGGCCCAUGAAAUGAAUAAUGAAGAGAUUAUUUUCUGGGCAAAUUGGUAGAAAAAUCCUGAUGCAGACAGUUCCCCUUCUGAUUGCACCUGACUUCCAUUCAUUGACUAUCACAUCAAGUAGUGGUUCUGGGAAUUCAAAGGAGAGCUCAGCAAAAGAAGAAGAAAAAAAAGCCCACAAAGUUUUUCA